Molecule: ribosomal RNA, 822 nt
Filed under: uncultured bacterium
Lineage: Bacteria
Description: bacterial SSU rRNA
Rfam family: Bacterial small subunit ribosomal RNA
Source: RNAcentral
GGCUCAGAACGAACGCUGGCGGCAUGCCUAACACAUGCAAGUCGAACGUGAUCCAGACUUCGGUUUGGUGAAAGUGGCAAACGGGUGAGUAACGCGUGGGAACCUGCCCAGAGGUAGGGAAUAACUGCGGGAAACUGCGGCUAAUACCCUAUGUGUCCUGAGGGACAAAGAUUUAUCGCCUUUGGAGGGGCCCGCGUCGGAUUAGGUAGUUGGUGGGGUAACGGCCUACCAAGCCAUCGAUCCGUAGCUGGUCUGAGAGGAUGAUCAGCCACACUGGGACUGAGAUACGGCCCAGACUCCUACGGGAGGCAGCAGUGGGGAAUAUUGGACAAUGGGGGCAACCCUGAUCCAGCAAUGCCGCGUGAGUGAUGAAGGCCUUCGGGUUGUAAAGCUCUUUCGGCGGGGAAGAUGAUGACGGUACCCGCAGAAGAAGCCCCGGCUAACUUCGUGCCAGCAGCCGCGGUAAUACGAAGGGGGCUAGCGUUGUUCGGAAUUACUGGGCGUAAAGGGCGCGUAGGCUGUGCUGUAAGUCAGGCGUGAAAUCCCCGGGCUCAACCUGGGAAUUGCGUUUGAUACUGCGGCGCUGGAAUGCAGGAGAGGAUGGCGGAAUUCCCAGUGUAGAGGUGAAAUUCGUAGAUAUUGGGAAGAACACCGGUGGCGAAGGCGGCCAUCUGGCCUGUAAUUGACGCUGAGGCGCGAAAGCGUGGGGAGCAAACAGGAUUAGAUACCCUGGUAGUCCACGCCGUAAACGAUGAGUGCUAGACGUCGGGGAGCUUGCUCUUCGGUGUCGCCGCUAACGCAUUAAGCACUCCGCCUGGGGAG